This 266-nucleotide long non-coding RNA is filed under the name Gallus gallus (chicken). RNAcentral describes it as "lncRNA (ENSGALG00010017947.1)". Lineage: Eukaryota; Metazoa; Chordata; Aves; Galliformes; Phasianidae. The record is from RNAcentral.
GUGGGGCUGUGGGUCACAGUGGGCGCUGUGGGUCACUGUGGGGCUGUGGGUCACAGUGGGGCUGUGGGUCACUUGGGCGCUGUGGGUCACUGUGGGUCCGGGUCGGUUGGAGCACAGAACGAACAUCGGCGGCCCCAAUGGCAGCGCUGCACCCCAUGCGCUGCCCGCAGCUCAGCUCUGCGGCCUCUCCUCCCCCACGCGUGGCGCCGCUCUGUGCCUUUGCUCGGGGAGCACUGCGCGGCCUCAGCGUGACGGGCAAAACCGCC